Molecule: transfer RNA, 73 nt
Filed under: Asticcacaulis sp. YBE204
Lineage: Bacteria; Pseudomonadati; Pseudomonadota; Alphaproteobacteria; Caulobacterales; Caulobacteraceae
Also listed under: 1 other name
Rfam family: tRNA
About the family: Transfer RNA (tRNA) molecules are approximately 80 nucleotides in length. Their secondary structure includes four short double-helical elements and three loops (D, anti-codon, and T loops). Further hydrogen bonds mediate the characteristic L-shaped molecular structure. tRNAs have two regions of fundamental functional importance: the anti-codon, which is responsible for specific mRNA codon recognition, and the 3' end, to which the tRNAs corresponding amino acid is attached (by aminoacyl-tRNA synthetases). tRNAs cope with the degeneracy of the genetic code in two manners: having more than one tRNA (with a specific anti-codon) for a particular amino acid; and 'wobble' base-pairing, i.e. permitting non-standard base-pairing at the 3rd anti-codon position.
Source: Rfam by way of RNAcentral
UCCCCGGUAGCUCAGUUGGUAGAGCAGUCGACUGUUAAUCGACUUGUCACAGGUUCGAGUCCUGUCCGGGGAG